GAUGAACGCUGGCGGCGUGCCUAAUACAUGCAAGUCGAGCGAACGGACGAGAAGCUUGCUUUUCUGAUGUUAGCGGCGGACGGGUGAGUAACACGUGGAUAACCUACCUAUAAGACUGGGAUAACUUCGGGAAACCGGAGCUAAUACCGGAUAAUAUUUUGAACCGCAUGGUUCAAAAGUGAAAGACGGUCUUGCUGUCACUUAUAGAUGGAUCCGCGCUGCAUUAGCUAGUUGGUAAGGUAACGGCUUACCAAGGCAACGAUGCAUAGCCGACCUGAGAGGGUGAUCGGCCACACUGGAACUGAGACACGGUCCAGACUCCUACGGGAGGCAGCAGUAGGGAAUCUUCCGCAAUGGGCGAAAGCCUGACGGAGCAACGCCGCGUGAGUGAUGAAGGUCUUCGGAUCGUAAAACUCUGUUAUUAGGGAAGAACAUAUGUGUAAGUAACUGUGCACAUCUUGACGGUACCUAAUCAGAAAGCCACGGCUAACUACGUGCCAGCAGCCGCGGGUAUACGUAGGUGGCAAGCGUUAUCCGGAAUUAUUGGGCGUAAAGCGCGCGUAGCGGUUUUUUAGUCUGAUGUGAAAGCCCACGGCUCAACCGUGGAGGGUCAUUGGAAACUGGAAAACUUGAGUGCAGAAGAGGAAAGUGGAAUUCCAUGUGUAGCGGUGAAAUGCGCAGAGAUAUGGAGGAACACCAGUGGCGAAGGCGACUUUCUGGUCUGUAACUGACGCUGAUGUGCGAAAGCGUGGGGAUCAAACAGGAUUAGAUACCCUGGUAGUCCACGCCGUAAACGAUGAGUGCUAAGUGUUAGGGGGUUUCCGCCCCUUAGUGCUGCAGCUAAUGCAUUAAGCACUCCGCCUGGGGAGUACGACCGCAAGGUUGAAACUCAAAGGAAUUGACGGGGACCCGCACAAGCGGUGGAGCAUGUGGUUUAAUUCGAAGCAACGCGAAGAACCUUACCAAAUCUUGACAUCCUUUGACAACUCUAGAGAUAGAGCCUUCCCCUUCGGGGGACAAAGUGACAGGUGGUGCAUAGUUGUCGUCAGCUCGUGUCGUGAGAUGUUGGGUUAAGUCCCGCAACGAGCGCAACCCUUAAGCUUAGUUGCCAUCAUUAAGUUGGGCACUCUAAGUUGACUGCCGGUGACAAACCGGAGGAAGGUGGGGAUGACGUCAAAUCAUCAUGCCCCUUAUGAUUUGGGCUACACACGUGCUACAAUGGACAAUACAAAGGGCAGCGAAACCGCGAGGUCAAGCAAAUCCCAUAAAGUUGUUCUCAGUUCGGAUUGUAGUCUGCAACUCGACUACAUGAAGCUGGAAUCGCUAGUAAUCGUAGAUCAGCAUGCUACGGUGAAUACGUUCCCGGGUCU
RNAcentral lists this ribosomal RNA (1370 nucleotides) under uncultured bacterium. RNAcentral describes it as "bacterial SSU rRNA". It matches the Rfam family "Bacterial small subunit ribosomal RNA", at positions 28 to 1381 of the family's 1533-position model. The record is from RNAcentral.